GUGCUCGCUUCAACAGCACAUAUACUAAAACUGGAACUAUACAGAGAAGAUUAGCAUGGCCCCUGCUCAAGGAUGACAUGCAGAUUCCUGAAGCAUUCUAUAUUUUU
Molecule: small nuclear RNA, 107 nt
Organism: Nomascus leucogenys (northern white-cheeked gibbon)
Lineage: Eukaryota; Metazoa; Chordata; Mammalia; Primates; Hylobatidae
Source: Ensembl